Molecule: ribosomal RNA, 407 nt
Filed under: uncultured bacterium
Lineage: Bacteria
Description: bacterial SSU rRNA
Rfam family: Bacterial small subunit ribosomal RNA
Source: RNAcentral
UCGAGAAUCUUCCGCAAUGGGCGCAAGCCUGACGGAGCGAUGCCGCGUGAGGGAUGAAGGCCUUCGGGUUGUAAACCUCUGUCGCCCGGGACGAACACAAUGACGGUACCGGGAGAGGAAGCUACGGCUAACUACGUGCCAGCAGCCGCGGUAAUACGUAGGUAGCAAGCGUUAUUCGGAUUUACUGGGCGUAAAGGGUCCGCAGGGGGCCUGUCAAGUCUGAUGUGAAAUGCCACGGCUCAACCGUGGAACGGCAUUGGAAACUGACGGGCUAGAGUGCAUGAGGGGUGAGCAGAAUUCCUGGUGUAGCGGUGGAAUGCGUAGAUAUCAGGAGGAAUACCGAUGGCGUAGGCGGCUCACUGGCGUGCAACUGACCCUCAGGGACGAAAGCGUGGGUAGCAAACAGG